UGGGGAAUAUUGCACAAUGGGCGCAAGCCUGAUGCAGCCAUGCCGCGUGUGUGAAGAAGGCCUUCGGGUUGUAAAGCACUUUCAGCGAGGAGGAAGGUGGUGGACUUAAUACGUUCAUCAAUUGACGUUACUCGCAGAAGAAGCACCGGCUAACUCCGUGCCAGCAGCCGCGGUAAUACGGAGGGUGCAAGCGUUAAUCGGAAUUACUGGGCGUAAAGCGCACGCAGGCGGUUUGUUAAGUCAGAUGUGAAAUCCCCGGGCUCAACCUGGGAACUGCAUUUGAAACUGGCAAGCUAGAGUCUCGUAGAGGGGGGUAGAAUUCCAGGUGUAGCGGUGAAAUGCGUAGAGAUCUGGAGGAAUACCGGUGGCGAAGGCGGCCCCCUGGACGAAGACUGACGCUCAGGUGCGAAAGCGUGGGGCAGCAAACAGGAUUAGAUACCCUGGUAGUCCACGCUGUAAACGAUGUCGAUUUGGAGGUUGUGCCCUUGAGGCGUGGCUUCCGGAGCUAACGCGUUAAAUCGACCGCCUGGGGAGUACGGCCGCAAGGUUAAAACUC
This 556-nucleotide ribosomal RNA is filed under the name uncultured bacterium. Its description in RNAcentral is "partial 16S ribosomal RNA". It matches the Rfam family "Bacterial small subunit ribosomal RNA", at positions 355 to 902 of the family's 1533-position model. The record is from RNAcentral.